Small nuclear RNA from Tupaia belangeri (northern tree shrew), 106 nucleotides. The record is from Ensembl. NCBI's taxonomy places the organism in Eukaryota, Metazoa, Chordata, Mammalia, Scandentia, Tupaiidae.
GUGCUUGCUUUGGCAACACAUAUACUAAAACUGAAUGAUACAGAGAAGAUUGGCAUAGCCCCUGAGCAAGAAUGACAUGCAAAUUCGUGAGCUGAUCCAUAUUUUC